Molecule: long non-coding RNA, 331 nt
Filed under: Elaeis guineensis (African oil palm)
Lineage: Eukaryota; Viridiplantae; Streptophyta; Magnoliopsida; Arecales; Arecaceae
Description: long non-coding RNA (EGUI_LNC055126)
Source: RNAcentral
GUGGCCCAGAAAGUAGGCAAAUGCGAUCCAAUGGUCUGUGUAGUUAGGGCUUCUGGAUAGGGUUUUAAGCCCUAUUAAAGGUGGGUUGGCGGACGAGGAGUGAGAGGUCUUGAUAGGAGCUUGAGAGACUCGAUAGGAUGGUCCAGAGUUUGAGGCAACGAGCACAGUAGUGCUGCAACAGUACUUUCCUAGAGGCACGAGGUUGAGUGAGGCUCGGUAAUGCAGCAAUUGAGAGAAGUAUCUCAGCAGAGAGUGCCAGAGGUAUGUUAAGGAGAUCGGGGAGCAGAUCUCAAGGAGAGCUAGGAGAAGGUCUCAGGAAGAUCUAGAGGCA